RNAcentral lists this ribosomal RNA (511 nucleotides) under uncultured Stenotrophomonas sp. Its description in RNAcentral is "partial 16S ribosomal RNA". The record is from RNAcentral. Lineage: Bacteria; Pseudomonadati; Pseudomonadota; Gammaproteobacteria; Lysobacterales; Lysobacteraceae.
CACGAAGUUAGCCGGUGCUUAUUCUUUGGGUACCGUCAUCCCAACCGGGUAUUAACCAGCUGGAUUUCUUUCCCAACAAAAGGGCUUUACAACCCGAAGGCCUUCUUCACCCACGCGGUAUGGCUGGAUCAGGCUUGCGCCCAUUGUCCAAUAUUCCCCACUGCUGCCUCCCGUAGGAGUCUGGACCGUGUCUCAGUUCCAGUGUGGCUGAUCAUCCUCUCAGACCAGCUACGGAUCGUCGCCUUGGUGGGCCUUUACCCCGCCAACUAGCUAAUCCGACAUCGGCUCAUUCAAUCGCGCAAGGCCCGAAGGUCCCCUGCUUUCACCCGUAGGUCGUAUGCGGUAUUAGCGUAAGUUUCCCUACGUUAUCCCCCAGACAGAGUAGAUUCCGAUGUAUUCCUCACCCGUCCGCCACUCGCCACCCGUAAGAGCAAGCUCUUACUGUGCUGCCGUUCGACUUGCAUGUGUUAGGCCUACCGCCAGCGUUCACUCUGAGCCAGGAUCAAACUCU